CUCAUUAGUUUAGAUCACAUUUAGAUAUAAAAUAUAUGAAUAAUUAAGGGCGUGGUCGGCUUGAUUGACGGCUGACGUCGAGGCAUACAGCAGCAGACGUUGCCAGCUGAGUGGAAACCCUGAAACUUUGACGUCUCAGCUAUGAUUAUACACAAAGUUACCACAUUCUUUCUGAACAUCUUUAUUCAAAAAGCUGACAUAAAAUGGUUUGCUAAGCUAUUAAUUGAAGCCUACUAACCGACACUUUCAGAAGACUUCGUUCCAGUUUUUUCAGUUUCCCUGUAGGUAAUCCAGACAGGUUGGGUGCUGGAGAGGGCUCUGGACUCCUAACUUCAAUUCUCGUCUGUGCAGUCGACACUCAGAAGCAUCACUUCAGCACUGAUUCCAUGAUCUGGAACAUUUUGAAAUCCUACCAGAUGGGGCAGAAGUCAUUGAGCAGUGGCAGCUUC
This is a long non-coding RNA of Alosa sapidissima (American shad), 449 nucleotides long. RefSeq lists it as uncharacterized. The record is from RefSeq and is a predicted model, not a curated record. The transcript has 3 exons. Lineage: Eukaryota; Metazoa; Chordata; Actinopteri; Clupeiformes; Clupeidae.